This 1957-nucleotide ribosomal RNA is filed under the name uncultured Cafeteria. Its description in RNAcentral is "sp. partial Bacterial large subunit ribosomal RNA". It matches the Rfam family "Bacterial large subunit ribosomal RNA", at positions 498 to 2452 of the family's 2925-position model. The record is from RNAcentral. Lineage: Eukaryota; Bigyra; Bicosoecida; Cafeteriaceae.
GUACCGUGAGGGAAAGGUGAAAAGCACCCCGAUAAGGGGAGUGAAAUAGUUCCUGAAACCGGAUGCCUACAAGCAGUUGGAGCCUCUAUAUGGGGUGACAGCGUACCUCUUGCAUAAUGGGUCAGCGAGUUAGUCUUACAAGCGAGCUUAAGCCGUUAGGUGUAGGCGCAGCGAAAGCGAGUCUGAACAGGGCGACUGAGUUAAAUGGAUUAGACCCGAAACCCGGCGAUCUAGUUAUGAGCAGGUUGAAGGUGCGGUAACACGCACUGGAGGACCGAACCCACGUCUGUUGAAAAAGACGGGGAUGACUUGUGAUUAGGGGUGAAAGGCCAAUCAAGCCGGGAGAUAGCUGGUUCUCCGCGAAAACUAUUUAGGUAGUGCCUCAGGUAUUACCUACGGGGGUAGAGCACUGGAUGGAUGCGGGGGGCGCGAGCCUUACCAAUUCUAACCAAACUCCGAAUACCGUAGAGUAGAGCCUGGGAGACAGACUGUGGGUGCUAAGGUCCAUAGUCGAGAGGGAAACAGCCCUGACCACCAGCUAAGGUCCCUAAAUCAUGUCUAAGUGGGAAAGCAUGUGAGACGGCCAUAACAACCAGGAUGUUGGCUUAGAAGCAGCCAUCAUUUAAAGAAAGCGUAACAGCUCACUGGUCUAAUUAAGCUGUCUUGCGGCGAAGAUGUACCGGGGCUAAAGACAUGUACCGAAGCUGUGGAUGUGCACUUUGUGCACGUGGUAGCGGAGCGUUCCGUAAGCCGUUGAAGGUGUGGCGCGAGCCAUGCUGGAGGUAUCGGAAGUGAGAAUGCUGACAUGAGUAGCGAUAAAGAGUGUGAGAGACACUCUCGCCGAAAACCCAAGGGUUCCUGCGCAAGGCUAAUCCGCGCAGGGUGAGUCGGCCCCUAAGGCGAGGCCGAAAGGCGUAGUCGAUGGGAAACGGAUUAAUAUUUCCGUACUUGGUAUAAUUGCGAUGGGGGGACGGAGCAGGCUAAGCAAGCAUGGCGAUGGUAGUCCAUGUGAAAGUGUGUAGGCUAGUGACUUAGGUAAAUCCGGGUUGCUGUUAGGCUGAGACACGAGACGAGUCACCAAGGUGAUGAAGUUGCUGAUGCCAUACUUCCAGGAAAAGCCUCUAAGCUUCAGAUCACAUGCGACCGUACCCCAAACCGACACAGGUGGUCAGGUAGAGAAUACCAAGGCGCUUGAGAGAACUCGGGUGAAGGAACUAGGCAAAAUGGCACCGUAACUUCGGGAGAAGGUGCACCGGUUCGAGUGAAGGACUUGCUCCGUAAGCUCUUACCGGUCGAAGAUACCAGGUGGCUGCAACUGUUUAUUAAAAACACAGCACUCUGCAAACGCGCAAGCGGACGUAUAGGGUGUGACGCCUGCCCGGUGCCGGAAGGUUAAGAGGAGAUGUUCGCUUCGGCAAAGCAUUGAAUUGAAGCCCCGGUAAACGGCGGCCGUAACAAUAACGGUCCUAAGGUAGCGAAAUUCCUUGUCGGGUAAGUUCCGACCUGCACGAAUGGUGCAACGAUCUGGACACUGUCUCAGCCAUGAGCUCGGUGAAAUUGUAGUAUCGGUGAAGAUGCCGAUUACCCGCUACGGGACGAAAAGACCCCGUGCACCUUUACUAUAGCUUAGUAUUGACUUUGGACAAGUGAUGUGUAGGAUAGGUGGGAGACAUUGAAGCAGCGUCGCCAGGCGUUGUGGAGUCAUUGUUGAAAUACCACCCUUUACUUGUUUGAAGCCUAACUUCGAAGAGAAGGACAGUGCUUGGUGGGUAGUUUGACUGGGGUGGUCGCCUCCAAAAGAGUAACGGAGGCUUCUAAAGGUUCCCUCAGCACGCUUGGUAACCGUGCGUAGAGUGCAAUGGCAUAAGGGAGCUUGACUGAGAGACCUACAAGUCGAUCAGGUACGAAAGUAGAGCAUAGUGAUCCGGUGGCGCCGCAUGGAAGGGCCAUCGCUCAA